ACAAUUUCCAAGGGGAGUGUGGGUGGUUCCAGGUUUCACUUGGGCUCCACACAGGUAAAUCAGUGUUGGUCAAAUGAAUUUGGAGAAGCAAGGAGAAGUAACUGCCGGUGGCCCCAGGGUUUUGAACUAUUAGCCAGAGACAGAGUCUGCUAGACCCUACUCCAGUGAGGCAUGCUCUGAAGAUAGGCACAAGGCAUAUGCAUGCCUAUCUAGGAUUGCUCAAAAAUGAUGACUCAGCAAACAAAGACAGCAGUGUGAGUAAAUUGCUUGCUGUUCCACACACUGAAGUAGAAGGCAGAGGCUGAGUUGGGGAGUCUGAGAGCUGCCCAGUGACUUCAAUAGUGGCCAUCGCAGGAAUAGAAGACCAGAGUUUUCCCGGAGUGCAAAGUCCAACCCAGAAAGCAGGGCUGGGGAGACCUGAAGUCAGGUGCACACUGGUUGACAAACCUUCAUCCUCAGCAGGAGCAAGGGGUUAGUUCCAGGAGCCCUCCCUGGGAUUUGGCUGACUGAGGGAGUCCAUACCAGAAGGAAGCUUUGUUUGUGUCAGCAUCUGUCU
Cricetulus griseus (Chinese hamster) is the source of this 556-nucleotide non-coding RNA. NCBI's taxonomy places the organism in Eukaryota, Metazoa, Chordata, Mammalia, Rodentia, Cricetidae. The record is from RefSeq and is a predicted model, not a curated record.